RNAcentral lists this ribosomal RNA (434 nucleotides) under uncultured bacterium. RNAcentral describes it as "partial 16S ribosomal RNA". It matches the Rfam family "Bacterial small subunit ribosomal RNA", at positions 341 to 792 of the family's 1533-position model. The record is from RNAcentral.
ACGGAAGGCAGCAGUGGGGAAUAUUGCACAAUGGGGGAAACCCUGAUGCAGCAACGCCGCGUGAGUGAAGAAGUAUUUCGGUAUGUAAAGCUCUAUCAGCAGGGAAGAUAAUGACGGUACCUUACUAAGAAGCACCGGCUAAAUACGUGCCAGCAGCCGCGGUAAUACGUAUGGUGCAAGCGUUAUCCGGAUUUACUGGGUGUAAAGGGUGCGUAGGCGGCAUGGUAAGUCAGAUGUGAAAUACCGGGGCUCAACCCCGGGGCUGCAUUUGAAACUGCCAGGCUGGAGUACAGGAGAGGCAAGCGGAAUUCCUAGUGUAGCGGUGAAAUGCGUAGAUAUUAGGAGGAACACCGGUGGCGAAGGCGGCUUGCCGGACUGUUACUGACGCUGAGGCACGAAAGCGUGGGGAGCAAACAGGAUUAGAUACCCUGGUA